GCGGCAUGCCUUACACAUGCAAGUCGAACGGCAGCACGGGAGCAAUCCUGGUGGCGAGUGGCGAACGGGUGAGUAAUAUAUCGGAACGUGCCCAGUCGUGGGGGAUAACGCAGCGAAAGCUGUGCUAAUACCGCAUACGAUCUCUGGAUGAAAGCGGGGGACUCGCAAGGGCCUCGCGCGAUUGGAGCGGCCGAUAUCAGAUUAGCUAGUUGGUGGGGUAAAAGCCCACCAAGGCGACGAUCUGUAGCUGGUCUGAGAGGACGACCAGCCACACUGGAACUGAGACACGGUCCAGACUCCUACGGGAGGCAGCAGUGGGGAAUUUUGGACAAUGGGCGCAAGCCUGAUCCAGCAAUGCCGCGUGCAGGAUGAAGGCCUUCGGGUUGUAAACUGCUUUUGUACGGAACGAAACGGUCCUUUCUAAUAAAAGGGGCUAAUGACGGUACCGUAAGAAUAAGCACCGGCUAACUACGUGCCAGCAGCCGCGGUAAUACGUAGGGUGCGAGCGUUAAUCGGAAUUACUGGGCGUAAAGCGUGCGCAGGCGGUUAUAUAAGACAGAUGUGAAAUCCCCGGGCUCAACCUGGGCACUGCAUUUGUGACUGUAUAGCUAGAGUACGGUAGAGGGGGAUGGAAUUCCGCGUGUAGCAGUGAAAUGCGUAGAUAUGCGGAGGAACACCGAUGGCGAAGGCAAUCCCCUGGACCUGUACUGACGCUCAUGCACGAAAGCGUGGGGAGCAAACAGGAUUAGAUACCCUGGUAGUCCACGCCCUAAACGAUGUCAACUGGUUGUUGGGUCUUCACUGACUCAGUAACGAAGCUAACGCGUGAAGUUGACCGCCUGGGGAGUACGGCCGCAAGGUUGAAACUC
RNAcentral lists this ribosomal RNA (869 nucleotides) under Rhodoferax sp. KAR79. Its description in RNAcentral is "bacterial SSU rRNA". It matches the Rfam family "Bacterial small subunit ribosomal RNA", at positions 39 to 902 of the family's 1533-position model. The record is from RNAcentral. Lineage: Bacteria; Pseudomonadati; Pseudomonadota; Betaproteobacteria; Burkholderiales; Comamonadaceae.